This 278-nucleotide ribosomal RNA is filed under the name uncultured prokaryote. Its description in RNAcentral is "partial 16S ribosomal RNA". It matches the Rfam family "Bacterial small subunit ribosomal RNA", at positions 524 to 801 of the family's 1533-position model. The record is from RNAcentral.
UACGUAGGGGGCUAGCGUUAUCCGGAAUUACUGGGCGUAAAGGGUGCGUAGGUGGUUUCUUAAGUCAGAGGUGAAAGGCUACGGCUCAACCGUAGUAAGCCUUUGAAACUGGGAAACUUGAGUGCAGGAGAGGAGAGUGGAAUUCCUAGUGUAGCGGUGAAAUGCGUAGAUAUUAGGAGGAACACCAGUUGCGAAGGCGGCUCUCUGGACUGUAACUGACACUGAGGCACGAAAGCGGUGGGGAGCAAACAGGAUUAGAUACCCGCGUAGUCCCUGAG